RNAcentral lists this ribosomal RNA (497 nucleotides) under uncultured bacterium. RNAcentral's name for it is "partial 16S ribosomal RNA". It matches the Rfam family "Bacterial small subunit ribosomal RNA", at positions 28 to 507 of the family's 1533-position model. The record is from RNAcentral.
GAUGAACGCUGGCGGCGUGCCUAAUACAUGCAAGUCGAGCGAACGGACGAGAAGCUUGCUUCUCUGAUGUUAGCGGCGGACGGGUGAGUAACACGUGGAUAACCUACCUAUAAGACUGGGAUAACUUCGGGAAACCGGAGCUAAUACCGGAUGAUAUUUUGAACCGCAUGGUUCAAAAGUGAAAGACGGUCUUGCUGUCACUUAUAGAUGGAUCCGCGCUGCAUUAGCUAGUUGGUAAGGUAAUGGCUUACCAAGGCAACGAUGCAUAGCCGACCUGAGAGGGUGAUCGGCCACACUGGAACUGGGACACGGACCAGACUCCUACGGGAGGCAGCAGUAGGGAAUCUUCGGCAAUGGGCGGAAGCCUGACGGAGCAACGCCGCGUGAGUGAUGAAGGUCUUCGGAUCGUAAAACUCUGUUAUUAGGGAAGAACAUAUGUGUAAGUAACUGUGCACAUCUUGACGGUACCUAAUCAGAAAGCCACGGCUAACUACGUG